AUAAUUUUUAAACAAAAAUUAUUUAAAAAAUAAAAGUUAAAAUUUCAAAUUUAAAAAAUUUUUUUAAAAUCAAUAAUAUAAUUAAAAUAUUUUAAAAUUUUAAAAGUAAAAUUUAAUUUUUUACCUUUUGUAUCAGGGAUAAUUAAAAAAUUUUUAAAAUUUAAAAUUUCUCGAAUUAAAAAAAUUUAAUGUAAAUAAUUUAUUAAUAUUAUAUUAUUAAAAUAAAAUUUAUAUUAGAAACUAUAUAUUAACCAAUUUUUAAAUUAUCUAGUUAUUUAAUAAAUAAAUUUAAUUUAAAUUUACUAAAAAUUUAUAACAAUAAAUUUUAAUUUUAUAAAUUUUGUAAAUUAAUAAAUUUAGGGAUAAACUUAAAUUUAAUUUUAUAAUUUUAAAUCAAAUUAAUUUAAUAAAUAUAAAAAUAAAAAUUUUUUAUAUUUAAAAUUAUAUAAUAAUUUAUAAAAUUAAAAAUUUAAAUUUACAUUUAAAAUUUAACUUAAUAUUAAAUUAAUCUUUUUAAUUAAUUUAACUAUAAAAUAAUGAUUAUAUUAAUAAUAAAAUUUUUUUUAAUAAAUAAUUAUAUAAACUAAAACUUUAUUUAAUUAACUAGGCAAUUUAAAUAUAUUCACCUGUUUAACAAAAACAUGUCUUAUUGAAAUUAAUUUUAAGUCAAACCUGCUCAAUGAAACUUUAAAUAGCUGCAGUAUCAAUAACUGUACAAAGGUAGCAUAAUAAUUAGAUUUUUAAUUAAAAUCUUGUAUGAAAGGUUUAAUGAAAUAUAAGCUGUCUCAAAUAAAAUUUUUUUAAACUUAUUAUUUAAGUUAAAAAACUUAAAUAAAUUUAAAAGACGAGAAGACCCUUUAGAAUUUUAUAUUAAAUUAAAUAAUAAUAAAAAUUAAUUAAUUUAUUUAUUUAAAUUAAUAUUUAAUUGGGGCAAUUUUAAAAUUCAAUAAACUUUUAAAUAUAUUAAACAAUUAUAAUUGAUUCUAUAUUCUUAUCUUAUAAUAUAUUAAAAUUAAUUACCUAAGGGAUAACAGCAUAAUAUUUUUUUUUAGAUCUAAUAAAUAAAAAAGAUUAUGACCUCGAUGUUGAAUUAAGAAAUAAUUAAAUAGAAAAAAAUUUAAAAUUUAAGUCUGUUCGACUUUUAAAAUCUUACAUGAUUUGAGUUAAGAUCGGCGUAAGCCAGAUCGGAUUCUAUCUUUAACAUAAAUAAAUUUUAUUGUACGAAAGGACUUAUUAUUUAAAAUAAUUUUUAAUUUUUAAUAUAAAUAAAUUCUAUUACUUUGACAGAUAAAUGU
Molecule: ribosomal RNA, 1295 nt
Filed under: Microctonus brassicae
Lineage: Eukaryota; Metazoa; Arthropoda; Insecta; Hymenoptera; Braconidae
Source: RNAcentral